AGAUCACUAGUACGAAUCAGAACUUUGUGGGCUUUCGUGUACACUCGUACAUUACAUUGAACUAAUAUGUUACGUAUCAAUACUUUUUUCCCUUUACUUUAUUACUAAAUUAUUAUUCAUGUCAUUAUUCUCUUUUAGGUUAAGAGAAGGAAUCUGCCGACUUAUUACUAGAAAGGAGAUCAGAGAAGGGUUUUGUACGUUUAUGUUUCAAUAGAGUCCACACGGGCUGAAUAAAACACACGUGCGGUGUUUGGCUUGAUGCACAACAAUAUUCAGACAACUCAUAUCACAUAUAGUUUCAGGUAGUGUACAACACGUCCUAUCCGAUUUAUUGGUGGCUAAGUAACUCUCAUCAUCCGUUAGAUACGAUAAUUCAGCUCCAUACGAAGUUAGUGAUUCAGUCGCUGAUAUAUAAAGAUUUUUUUAAAAAAUAUUACAUUACUGUUAAAAAUUUAUAAACCACUUGACCCGCAAAAAAGUCCAUAUGUUUAACCAAAACACAAUGUUAAAUAUUUUAGAAAGUUGCAUAAUUUGUUGAUAAUAAAUCUUUAUAAAACCUGUAUUGUGACUUGGUAUGUAUACUGUAUUAAUUAACAAUCUUAAUACCAUAAAUGUAUAAAAUCAAAGAGUACUAAUUUCUUAUGAUGUUUAAUGAUGAAUCUAUCAAAGCCAAGGUGGUGCCACUUUAUUCAGAAUAUAUUAAUUCAAAGCUUUAUUGAUUUUUUUCUUCUCCUACUCAAAUAUUUCAAGCCUGAAACAUAUAUUCCAUUUGUUUCAUAAAGAAUGUCAUUUUAGUUUUUUUUUUUUAUUUUAAAAUAAGUAUCAUUUUACAUUUUCAAUGCAAGUUUUCACAUUAAAUCACUUUUUUGCCCUUUUAACCAAUAGAUGUUUAGUUAAAUCAUUUUUAUUUAAAUAGUUGUAUGAUAAAUAAGGGUAGAUUAGUAUAUUUUGUUAGUUUAUUAAUCUGCGUGAAAUGUGUAUAAGUAACACUUAUUAUGAAACGAAUUGAAUAUUAAUUAAUCCAUCUAUUUAGUAAACAUAGAUGUUCUCAACCUAUGCUAUUUAAUAGUGGUUAAUACUAGUAUUAAUUAAACAUUUUGUGUUAUUGAUAUAUGCAACCUUCAAUUAACCAUCUAAAUGCGACGGAACACAUGAAUCUUCCUAAAAAGGUUCCUUUCUGAAGACAUCUUCGAAAGCAAGAAAAUAAUUUAUUACAGAUCUGUUAAAAAUAGGAUGUAGUACUAAAAUGAUUAUUGUUUACAUUAAGUGUACUUUUUGAUUCAAUACUAAUAUUAUAUAUACUUAGUAUUAAAUGUGUAUUUAGUAUGCAAAUGUGUCUUGAUACAUUUGUGAAUUGUGUCUUGAUACAUUUGUGAAAUGGUAUACUUUAAAUGAGUGUUAAAUUUUUUAAGAAAAAUGAUUGUAACUACACAAACAAAGUGCCAUUCUACCAUAUGUUCACACAUUCCGACAAAACUAAUGUAUUAAAAAUUACACACACUGUAUAAAUGACAUAACAACAUCUAUGAACUAUAUUAUGUAUACUGUUAAUAAUAACUUAACAUCAUUUCAGUAGCUAAAAGUGUAUCAAACUUCAAAUUCAGAAAAAAAAAAUGAUAAAAGGUGUCAAUCAGUCUUCAAAAACUGGACGAUAACACAUAUAAAAUAUUAAAAAUAAAAUACAUAAAUUAAAUAUACAAUUUCAAUGUUAUACAACAUGAGUAUAUGUCAAAACAUUAUUAUAGAAUGUCAGAUUUUUCAAAUUUGAUAUAUUUCUAGAUAGCGUAGUAGUAUUAAUGAUGUUGUAGACGUACUAUAAACGAUAUUAUACACAUGAUAGUUCAUAGAUAUCAUCAUGUAAUUCAAAUAGUUAUUAAUUUUUUGUUCAAAUGUGUAACAAUGUAGCAACGUUUAUAUUUGUAUAAGUAGUUGAUAUCUACUCUUUAUUUAAUUGCUUGUUUUCUUUUGAUUCAAUGCAUCUGUUAACCUUGGCCAAUAAACUGCACAUAUGUUUCAGAUUAAUGAGAAUGAGAUUAUUUAAUUUUGUUUAGUAAACUAUCUCUUCUAGCAAUAAAUGUAUGCCUCAUUUUAAUAGAAAUUGAUACAGCUAACAUAUGUAGAAGAAACAGGAUAUAGGUUUUCUGAAAACAUACAAAA
Molecule: long non-coding RNA, 2157 nt
Organism: Brassica rapa (field mustard)
Lineage: Eukaryota; Viridiplantae; Streptophyta; Magnoliopsida; Brassicales; Brassicaceae
Source: RefSeq, a predicted model, not a curated record